CCUACGGGUGGCAGCAGUGGGGAAUAUUGCACAAUGGGGGAAACCCUGAUGCAGCGACGCCGCGUGAGCGAGGAAGUAUUUCGGUAUGUAAAGCUCUAUCAGCAGGGACGAAAAAAGACGGUACCUGACUAAGAAGCCCCGGCUAACUACGUGCCAGCAGCCGCGGUAAUACGUAGGGGGCAAGCGUUAUCCGGAUUUACUGGGUGUAAAGGGAGCGUAGACGGCAAGGCAAGACAGAAGUGAAAGGGGAGGGUGCAACCCUGUACAUGCUUUUGGAACGGUGGUGCUAGAGUGCAGGAGAGGUAAGUGGAAUUCCUAGUGUAGCGGUGAAAUGCGUAGAUAUUAGGAGGAACACCAGUGGCGAAGGCGGCUUACUGGACUGUAACUGACGUUGAGGCUCGAAAGCGUGGGGAGCAAACAGGAUUAGAUACCCCAGUAGUC
Molecule: ribosomal RNA, 441 nt
Filed under: uncultured bacterium
Lineage: Bacteria
Description: partial 16S ribosomal RNA
Rfam family: Bacterial small subunit ribosomal RNA
Source: RNAcentral